Molecule: unclassified non-coding RNA, 231 nt
Filed under: plant metagenome
Description: partial contains small subunit ribosomal RNA, internal transcribed spacer 1, and 5.8S ribosomal RNA
Rfam family: 5.8S ribosomal RNA (bases 183-231)
Source: RNAcentral
UUUCCGUAGGUGAACCUGCGGAAGGAUCAUUCAUAAUAAAGUGUUUUAUGGCACUUUUUAAAAAUCCAUAUCCACCUUGUGUGCAAUGUUAGAUCUCGUCAGUCUUGGCGAGAUUUUUAUACAUCAACUCAUUCUUUAACUAAUUUGUCUGAAAAAUAUUAUGAAUACUUAAUUCAAAAUACAACUUUCAACAACGGAUCUCUUGGCUCUCGCAUCGAUGAAGAACGCGGC